CCUUGUACAUUACAAAAAAAAAAAAACUUCAUGACACUGAUCUGUUUCCAAAAAUGACUACAAUUUGGGAUUUGCAGAGAUCCUCGGUCAAAGGCUUUGAGAAUCGAGGAAAUCCAUUAAUGCCACAAUUGUCAAGCUGUGGUGUGCGUACUACUGGUUGUAACUGAGCUUCUCUAAAGUGUGGCAUCGGGUGUCUCAGUCCUAUUAACACAACUGUAAUUGCAUUUGAGGAGGAAUGGACGCAUGCAGCCCACAAGGGUACGUUCACACUUGCCUGUACACCCAAGUGCCUUCAACAUAAAUCGAAUUGUAUUACUCAAGCACACAUGGGCGCGGACAUAGUAUACACACUCAUAUAUAGAUGCACGCACGCAUUUAAGACAGACGUUAUGUCGGGGGAAAGGAAAUAAAUGAGCAGAAAAACAAAAUGCAGUAUUUUAGCCGGUGGAUUUAAUUCUAGCGAUCACCGUGUGAGCGCAUGUGUGUCCAUGUUUAUAUGGCAUGGCACAUCUUAAACCAGCGAGCACUGCUCAUUAGCAUGGUAAUAUCCAAACAGCAGGGUGUAGCCAGAACAGCAGCAUAUUAUUAAGAUUCAUCUCAUUAGGCUUUCAUGAGAUUUAAAAGUUAACGCGAAAUAACUUCAAAACUAAGUCUUAGAUAAAACACACACAGCGAGGUCCUGAGUUUACUCUGCACCAGUUCAUUCCCCCCCCCUGGAGACAGUGCACCGCCGCCCUGCAGCAACAUGGAGAGCUGGCCUGCGGUAACAGGAUUAGACAAAAUACUUUUUGUCACACUGAUUUUACUGAUACAUGUUAUCACUUGAAAAACUUGUUUGUUGAAAUUAACCUCUUUUGAACUGUGCUGCAGGACAUAUCGUCACUUUUAUCAAAGGUAGACAGACACCUUGAAUUCUUCCAACAAAUCACAGCUGUAGGUCUCAAGUAUAGUCUGCAUGACAGAAACAGACCUGGCCUGCAGCUCCGAAAAGUCACAGUUUCUAAAAGCCAGAACUGGUUCCAGAAUAAGAUGGAUGACUCCCUGAGAGGUCACCGGACAUCCCAUGAAGCCAACAAACUGCAGCUCUGGACAAUGCUCUGCAACCGCUCGCACUGAACGAUCAGUGACCUGGAGAAGAGAAAAGGGAGCAGGGAGAAGAAAGGGGGGAAGAUAAAGUUUAAAUUAGUAUCCUGAGCACAAAAAAAAUCUUCUCGGGUAAAAUAGCUGAAGUAUAGAAUGUAUGAAGAAUAUUUCUAAAGUGCUCCAUGUUUUCUCUUCAUAUCACCAAUUCUUUUUCAUGUUUUUUCCUUUAGAUUUCAUUCAUUCAGCUCUAUAGGAUCAACAUAAGGCAUUCAUUCAACACAUCUGAGAGAUUUUUUAUCUUUAUACUUUUACAGGUUUUAAAUUGGGAAAGCUGCCAAACACAUUCCUGUUAAGAACAUUUUUCAAAACGAGUGUGUGCAGACAGGUUGCUGUCAGAUUCAAGCAAAAAUGUCAACUCCAUGUGUGCGCGGGUCAGGUGCAUUUUGCUUUUCAUAAACAGCAGAGAAAUAACGAGACGAAGUGGAGCAGGAGGAGGAUAACGCGCAAGCUAAACAGCUAAAAGAGCACGUCUGCCAAGCAGCAAGGACGUCGUCUUAUGAUGGAUGGACUGCUCCCCAUCAUUCACCCAGUCGUCUACUAACAGCUCAUAAUGGAUCAGAGAUCAAUAGGGAAGCAGAACAUUUCCAGCAGCUUCCACUGUAGUCAUCAAUACAGGUAUUGAUAGCUACUUCAACCCCCCUCAUCACACUCAACACUGCAACAAUAUGUGGGAGACUGUUUCUUCCUCUCUGUGGGCUUCCUCAGUGCUUCCUCACACUCCUCAUCAAUCAGAAAGGCAAAAUGAGACGAGAAGAAGAAGAGAGAGCGAAGAGGGAGAAUUGACUCUGAGCUGUGAUUAACUGAGAAAGCAAAGAAAAACAAACAUCAAAGAACAUUAGAGAACAAAAAUCACUUCAUCUCGGCGUCCCUGUCAGAAACCUUCAAUGCUUCUUUUUAAAGAAAUCCCAAAAAGACAGUCAGGCAACAUUUACAUUCAAAUAUAUGCACAAAAA
Acanthopagrus latus (yellowfin seabream) is the source of this 2096-nucleotide long non-coding RNA. RefSeq lists it as uncharacterized. The record is from RefSeq and is a predicted model, not a curated record. NCBI's taxonomy places the organism in Eukaryota, Metazoa, Chordata, Actinopteri, Spariformes, Sparidae. The transcript has 3 exons.